UGAGGAAUAUUGGUCAAUGGACGCAAGUCUGAACCAGCCAAGUAGCGUGCAGGAUGACGGCCCUAUGGGUUGUAAACUGCUUUUAUAUGGGGAUAAAGUGGGGAACGUGUUCCCUUUUGCAGGUACCAUAUGAAUAAGGACCGGCUAAUUCCGUGCCAGCAGCCGCGGUAAUACGGAAGGUUCGGGCGUUAUCCGGAUUUAUUGGGUUUAAAGGGAGCGUAGGCCGUUUGGUAAGCGUGUUGUGAAAUGUAGGAGCUCAACUUCUAGAUUGCAGCGCGAACUGUCAGACUUGAGUGCGCACAACGUAGGCGGAAUUCAUGGUGUAGCGGUGAAAUGCUUAGAUAUCAUGAAGAAAUCCGAUUGCGAAGGCAGCUUACGGGAGCGCAACUGACGCUGAAGCUCGAAGGUGCGGGUAUCGAACAGG
This 424-nucleotide ribosomal RNA is filed under the name Verrucomicrobiota bacterium. Its description in RNAcentral is "Verrucomicrobia bacterium partial 16S ribosomal RNA". It matches the Rfam family "Bacterial small subunit ribosomal RNA", at positions 355 to 776 of the family's 1533-position model. The record is from RNAcentral. Lineage: Bacteria; Pseudomonadati; Verrucomicrobiota.